Molecule: ribosomal RNA, 520 nt
Filed under: uncultured bacterium
Lineage: Bacteria
Description: bacterial SSU rRNA
Rfam family: Bacterial small subunit ribosomal RNA
Source: RNAcentral
GGGAAUCUGCCCUUCGGUUGGGAAUAACUGAGAGAAAUUUCAGCUAAUACCUUAUAAUGUCUUCGGACCAAAGAUUUAUCGCCGAGGGAUGAGCCUGCGUAGGAUUAGGUAGUUGGUGGGGUAAUGGCCUACCAAGCCGACGAUCCUUAGCUGGUCUGAGAGGAUGAUCAGCCACACUGGGACUGAGACACGGCCCAGACUCCUACGGGAGGCAGCAGUGGGGAAUAUUGGACAAUGGGCGAAAGCCUGAUCCAGCAAUGCCGCGUGAGUGAUGAAGGCCUUAGGGUUGUAAAGCUCUUUUACCCGGGAUGAUAAUGACAGUACCGGGAGAAUAAGCUCCGGCUAACUCCGUGCCAGCAGCCGCGGUAAUACGGAGGGAGCUAGCGUUGUUCGGAAUUACUGGGCGUAAAGCGCGCGUAGGCGGUUACUCAAGUCAGAGGUGAAAGCCCGGGGCUCAACCCCGGAACUGCCUUUGAAACUAGGUAACUAGAAUCUUGGAGAGGUCAGUGGAAUUCCGAGU